Molecule: unclassified non-coding RNA, 148 nt
Organism: Pongo abelii (Sumatran orangutan)
Lineage: Eukaryota; Metazoa; Chordata; Mammalia; Primates; Hominidae
Rfam family: Metazoan signal recognition particle RNA
About the family: The signal recognition particle (SRP) is a universally conserved ribonucleoprotein. It is involved in the co-translational targeting of proteins to membranes. The eukaryotic SRP consists of a 300-nucleotide 7S RNA and six proteins: SRPs 72, 68, 54, 19, 14, and 9.
Source: Ensembl
GCCAGGCAUGGUGGUGCAUGCCUGUAAUCCCAGCUACUCAGGAGGCUGAGGCAGGAGAAUCGCUUGAACCCAGGAGGCAGAGGUUGCAGUGAGCCGAGACUGUGCCACUGCACUCCAGCCUGGGUGACAGAGCAAGACUCUGUCUAUA